Molecule: ribosomal RNA, 254 nt
Filed under: uncultured bacterium
Lineage: Bacteria
Description: partial 16S ribosomal RNA
Rfam family: Bacterial small subunit ribosomal RNA
Source: RNAcentral
CACGUAGGGUGCGAGCGUUGUCCGGAAUUAUUGGGCGUAAAGAGCUCGUAGGCGGUGUGUCGCGUCGGCCGUGAAAACCUGCAGCUUAACUGUGGGCGUGCGGUCGAUACGGGCAUCACUGGAGUUCGGCAGGGGAGACUGGAAUUCCUGGUGUAGCGGUGAAAUGCGCAGAUAUCAGGAGGAACACCGGUGGCGAAGGCGGGUCUCUGGGCCGUAACUGACGCUGAGGAGCGAAAGCGUGGGGAGCAAACAGG